GAGAAACACUUCCGCCGUAAGCCUAAGGGUUCCUGGGCAACGCUAAUCGUCCCAGGGUCAGUCGGGAGCUAAGGCGAGGCCGCGAGGCGUAGUCGAUGCACAACGGGUAGACAUUCCCGUACCACUGAUAGCGCGUUAAUACCGAUGGGGUGACGGAGUAGGGUAGCUGAGCGCGGUUCUGGACGUCCGCGUGAAAGGCUGUAGGGCGUGAGAUAGGUAAAUCCGUCUCACACGAUGCCUGAGAGCUGAUGACGAAGCGAUUGAGUGAAGUCAGUGAUCCCAUGCUUUCAAGAAAAACCUCUAGGGAGUUCUAUCAGUGCCCGUACCCCAAACCGACACAGGUAGGCAGGUAGAGAAUACCAAGGCGAUCGAGAGAACUAUGGUUAAGGAACUCGGCAUAAUGGCUCCGUAACUUCGGGAGAAGGAGCGCCCUGGCUGGUCAUCAAACAAGCGUUGAGAGCCAGCUGGGGCCGCAGUGAAACGGCCCAAGCGACUGUUUACUAAAAACACAGGACUCUGCUAAGUCGUAAGACGACGUAUAGGGUCUGACGCCUGCCCGGUGCUGGAAGGUUACGAGGAGGGGUUAGCCUUCGGGCGAAGCUCUGAAUCUAAGCCCCAGUAAACGGCGGCCGUAACUAUAACGGUCCUAAGGUAGCGAAAUUCCUUGUCGGGUAAGUUCCGACCUGCACGAAUGGCGUAACGACUUGGGCGCUGUCUCAACCAUAGACUCGGCGAAAUUGUAUUAUUCGUGAAGAUGCGAAUUACCCGCGGUAGGACGGAAAGACCCCGUGAACCUUUACUACAGCUUGACAUUGAUCAUUGGUUUGUCGUGUAGAGGAUAGGUGGGAGGCUGUGAAGCUGGGGCGCAAGCCUUGGUGGAGCCAACCUUGGAAUACCACCCUCGUCAGAUUGAUGAUCUAACCCGGCGCCUUGAAUCAGGGUCGGGGACCGUGUCUGGUGGGUAGUUUGACUGGGGCGGUCGCCUCCUAAAAUGUAACGGAGGCGUGCGUAAGGUCCGCUCAGAACGUUUGGCAAUCGUUCGUAGAGUACUAGAGCAUAAGCGGGCUUGACUGCGAGACCUACAAGUCGAGCAGAUACGAAAGUAGGCUCUAGUGAUCCGGCGGCUCAGAGUGGAAUGGCCGUCGCUCAACGGAUAAAAGGUACUCCGGGGAUAACAGGCUGAUCCUCCCCAAGAGUCCACAUCGACGGGAGGGUUUGGCACCUCGAUGUCGGCUCAUCGCAUCCUGGGGCUGAAGUAGGUCCCAAGGGUAUGGCUGUUCGCCAUUUAAAGCGGUACGCGAGCUGGGUUUAGAACGUCGUGAGACAGUUCGGUCCCUAUCCACCGUGGGCGUAAGAGACUUGAGAGAAGCUGUCCCUAGUACGAGAGGACCGGGAUGGACGAACCUCUGGUGUACCAGUUGUCGACCAACGGCACCGCUGGUUAGCUACGUUCGGUUUGGAUAACCGCUGAAAGCAUCUAAGCGGGAAGCCAAUCUCAAGAGGAGGUCUCUCACUGGGUCAACCAGGUAAGGCCCCUCGUAGACUACGAGGUUGAUAGGCUGCAGGUGUACGCACAGCAAUGUGUUCAGCCGAGCAGUACUAAUAGGCCGAGGUCUUGAUCUC
Molecule: ribosomal RNA, 1623 nt
Filed under: Actinomycetota bacterium
Lineage: Bacteria; Bacillati; Actinomycetota
Description: partial 23S ribosomal RNA
Rfam family: Bacterial large subunit ribosomal RNA
Source: RNAcentral